This 1343-nucleotide ribosomal RNA is filed under the name uncultured bacterium. Its description in RNAcentral is "16S ribosomal RNA". It matches the Rfam family "Bacterial small subunit ribosomal RNA", at positions 28 to 1378 of the family's 1533-position model. The record is from RNAcentral.
GACGAACGCUUGCGGCGUGCUUAACACAUGCAAGUCGAACGGAAAGGCCCUGCUUUUGUGGGGUGCUCGAGUGGCGAACGGGUGAGUAACACGUGAGUAACCUGCCCUUGACUUUGGGAUAACUUCAGGAAACUGGGGCUAAUACCGGAUAGGAGCUCCUGCUGCAUGGUGGGGGUUGGAAAGUUUCGGCGGUUGGGGAUGGACUCGCGGCUUAUCAGCUUGUUGGUGGGGUAGUGGCUUACCAAGGCUUUGACGGGUAGCCGGCCUGAGAGGGUGACCGGCCACAUUGGGACUGAGAUACGGCCCAGACUCCUACGGGAGGCAGCAGUGGGGAAUAUUGCACAAUGGGCGGAAGCCUGAUGCAGCAACGCCGCGUGCGGGAUGACGGCCUUCGGGUUGUAAACCGCUUUCGCCUGUGACGAAGCGUGAGUGACGGUAAUGGGUAAAGAAGCACCGGCUAACUACGUGCCAGCAGCCGCGGUGAUACGUAGGGUGCGAGCGUUGUCCGGAUUUAUUGGGCGUAAAGGGCUCGUAGGUGGUUGAUCGCGUCGGAAGUGUAAUCUUGGGGCUUAACCCUGAGCGUGCUUUCGAUACGGGUUGACUUGAGGAAGGUAGGGGAGAAUGGAAUUCCUGGUGGAGCGGUGGAAUGCGCAGAUAUCAGGAGGAACACCAGUGGCGAAGGCGGUUCUCUGGGCCUUUCCUGACGCUGAGGAGCGAAAGCGUGGGGAGCGAACAGGCUUAGAUACCCUGGUAGUCCACGCUGUAAACGGUGGGUACUAGGUGUGGGGUCCAUUCCACGGGUUCCGUGCCGUAGCUAACGCUUUAAGUACCCCGCCUGGGGAGUACGGCCGCAAGGCUAAAACUCAAAGGAAUUGACGGGGCCCCGCACAAGCGGCGGAGCAUGCGGAUUAAUUCGAUGCAACGCGUAGAACCUUACCUGGGUUUGACAUGGAUCGGGAGCGCUCAGAGAUGGGUGUGCCUCUUUUGGGGUCGGUUCACAGGUGGUGCAUGGCUGUCGUCAGCUCGUGUCGUGAGAUGUUGGGUUAAGUCCCGCAACGAGCGCAACCCUUGUUCACUGUUGCCAGCACGUUAUGGUGGGGACUCAGUGGAGACCGCCGGGGUCAACUCGGGGGAAGGUGGGGAUGACGUCAAGUCAUCAUGCCCCUUAUGUCCAGGGCUUCACGCAUGCUACAAUGGCUGGUACAGAGAGUGGCGAGCCUGUGAGGGUGAGCGAAUCUCGGAAAGCCGGUCUCAGUUCGGAUUGGGGUCUGCAACUCGACCUCAUGAAGUCGGAGUCGCUAGUAAUCGCAGAUCAGCAACGCUGCGGUGAAUACGUUCCCGGG